Long non-coding RNA from Neofelis nebulosa (Clouded leopard), 562 nucleotides. RefSeq lists it as uncharacterized. The record is from RefSeq and is a predicted model, not a curated record. The transcript has 3 exons. NCBI's taxonomy places the organism in Eukaryota, Metazoa, Chordata, Mammalia, Carnivora, Felidae.
ACUCUCGGAUUCCACGCAACAUAGGGAGGGGAUGGGGGCUAAAAUUUCGGAAUAUUUAAGUUCCUAGCAUUUGUUACCUGUUCACAAUUAAUGCUCAACCUAGUGCACCUCAAACCUCAAUGAACUAGAUUAUAACAUUUUUUUUUUUUUUUUAAGGAGGAGCAAAACUGUCUUCUGUAAGCUGUGAUUUAUUUCAUUUCAGAAACUGAAAGUCGCCCAAGUAGGAGGAGGAAAGGAAACAAGUUGUAAGGAUAUUACAGGCCAUCGCAGAAAUGUGGUCAAGGAAUACAAGUAGGGGGGCUGUAGGAGUGAAGAGAAAGCCACUGAUUGCAGAAAAUACCUUAGGGGACUUCAUUAACAUCUUGUGAAUGUUCCUUCAAGUUUGAUUGAACAAGGGCGAUUUUCCUCCGCACAACUGAUAGAGUUCGAAUAUGCUGGAUCCGGUAUUAUUUUAGAUUAAUUUAAUCUUCAUGCUUUCAAUGUUCAGCCCCUGAUCUAUUUCCUCUGAUGGUCUGCUGUAACAAUCCAGACUUCUUAAUAAAGAUGUAUCCCCUGCAGUGAA